Molecule: long non-coding RNA, 130 nt
Organism: Gopherus evgoodei (Goodes thornscrub tortoise)
Lineage: Eukaryota; Metazoa; Chordata; Testudines; Testudinidae
Exons: 3
Source: RefSeq, a predicted model, not a curated record
GGGCAAAGGGCAUCAUGCGUGCAGGCUCUGGGGAGGCACUUACCUCAAGCAGCUCCCAAAGGCAGCGGCAUGUCCUCCCUCUCGCUCCUACGUGGAGGCGUGGCCUGGCGGCUCUGCACGCUGCCCUGUC